Molecule: ribosomal RNA, 462 nt
Filed under: uncultured soil bacterium
Lineage: Bacteria
Description: bacterial SSU rRNA
Rfam family: Bacterial small subunit ribosomal RNA
Source: RNAcentral
AGAACGAACGCUGGCGGCAUGCCUAACACAUGCAAGUCGAACGAGACCUUCGGGUCUAGUGGCGCACGGGUGCGUAACGCGUGGGAAUCUGCCCUUGGGUUCGGAAUAACAGUUGGAAACGACUGCUAAUACCGGAUGAUGACGUAAGUCCAAAGAUUUAUCGCCCAGGGAUGAGCCCGCGUAGGAUUAGCUAGUUGGUGAGGUAAAGGCUCACCAAGGCGACGAUCCUUAGCUGGUCUGAGAGGAUGAUCAGCCACACUGGGACUGAGACACGGCCCAGACUCCUACGGGAGGCAGCAGUGGGAAUAUUGGACAAGUGGGACGAAAGCCUAGAUCCAGCAAUGCCGCGUGAGUGAGUGAAGGUCCUUAGGGUUGUAAAGCGUUACGUUUUACCCGGGAUGAAUAAUGACGAGUAACCGGAAGAAUAAGCUCCGGACUAACCUCCGUGACCAGCCAGCCGAC